Molecule: ribosomal RNA, 275 nt
Filed under: uncultured prokaryote
Description: partial 16S ribosomal RNA
Rfam family: Bacterial small subunit ribosomal RNA
Source: RNAcentral
UACGUAGGGGCUAGCGUUAUCCGGAAUUACUGGGCGUAAAGGGUGCGUAGGUGGUUUCUUAAGUCAGAGGUGAAAGGCUACGGCUCAACCGUAGUAAGCCUUUGAAACUGAGAAACUUGAGUGCAGGAGAGGAGAGUAGAAUUCCUAGUGUAGCGGUGAAAUGCGUAGAUAUUAGGAGGAAUACCAGUUGCAAAGGCGGCUCUCUGGACUGUAACUGACACUGAGGCACGAAAGCGUGGGGAGCAAACAGGAUUAGAUACCCUGGUAGUCCCUGA